CGUGUUCGGUAUUUAAAAUGAGUGGCAGCGUCGAAGACGACGAGAAAUAUUUUAAAGAAUACGAAAAACAACUCAAGAAAGGGAAAUAUAUUAAAUGUUUAUAAUGUUUGGAGGAAUUAUUGAAUAAUUUGCCUUCAAAAGGCGCAUCGGGCAGAUUUAGAAAGUUAAAUUUAUUAAUAAAACAAAUUUAAUUUUUAUUCAAUGGUCAGUUCGGCAUAAUAUUUUAUUAUGUAAAUUAUUAUUGAAAACAGAAGUUAACACCAAUAGCAAAUAAUCAAACUGAAGAGAAAGAUGAUCUGGUUCUAUUAGAACAACUUUAACAUCUUUGUUUUCAAGUGAGAGGUGUUCCUGUAACAAAAGAAUCUAUAAUUUUGGAAAUAAUAAUAAUAAUAAUACACAAUUGGUUAAAUUUCUUACUAUUGAAAGGUGAAAGUAAAAUAAAGACUUUUUGUAAAAAUGAAGUAUGGCAGCAAAUAACACUAACUUUACAGCAGUCAUAUGUUAUAAAACCAACUUCAGAUUCAGUUGAUGUUACUACUGCUCUGUAUCUGUAAUCUUUAUGUACAAUUUAGUCUCUACUGACACCACAAUGAGAUCUAGAAGGAAUUGGGCAUCAUUUAAAUGAGUUGAAAGACCUUAAGAAAAUAGCAUUGUUAUUUUUCUGCACCAUUGCUUGGUUCCUUAUACAACAUUCAGAUGUUAAAAAUGCUUUGUUGUUAUUGAAAUCUGUAACCUCAUUAUUAAAAAAAUUGUGUCUGAGGACG
Centruroides sculpturatus (bark scorpion) is the source of this 764-nucleotide long non-coding RNA. RefSeq lists it as uncharacterized. NCBI's taxonomy places the organism in Eukaryota, Metazoa, Arthropoda, Arachnida, Scorpiones, Buthidae. The record is from RefSeq and is a predicted model, not a curated record. The transcript is spliced from 5 exons.